GACGUAGGGGGCCAGCGUUGUUCGGAAUUACUGGGUGUAAAGGGUUCGUAGGCGGUGCGGCAAGUUGGGAGUGAAAUCUCUGGGCUUAACCCAGAGGCUGCUUCCAAAACUGCUGUGCUUGAGUGUGGGAGAGGCGCGUGGAAUUGCAGGUGUAGCGGUGAAAUGCGUAGAUAUCUGCAGGAACACCCGUGGCGAAAGCGGCGCGCUGGACCACUACUGACGCUGAGACGCGAAAGCGUGGGGAGCAAACAGG
RNAcentral lists this ribosomal RNA (253 nucleotides) under uncultured bacterium. Its description in RNAcentral is "partial 16S ribosomal RNA". It matches the Rfam family "Bacterial small subunit ribosomal RNA", at positions 524 to 776 of the family's 1533-position model. The record is from RNAcentral.